AAUAGAUACCCGGGUAGUCCACGCCGUAAAACGAUUGAGUGCUAAGUGUUAGAGGGUUUCCGCCCUUUAGUGCUGCAGCUAACGCAUUAAGCACUCCGCCUGGGGAGUACGGCCGCAAGGCUGAAACUCAAAGGAAUUGACGGGGGCCCGCACAAGCGGUGGAGCAUGUGGUUUAAUUCGAAGCAACGCGAAGAACCUUACCAGGUCUUGACAUCCUCUGCCAACCCUAGAGAUAGGGCGUUCCCCUUCGGGGGACAGAGUGACAGGUGGUGCAUGGUUGUCGUCAGCUCGUGUCGUGAGAUGUUGGGUUAAGUCCCGCAACGAGCGCAACCCUUGAUCUUAGUUGCCAGCAUUCAGUUGGGCACUCUAAGGUGACUGCCGGUGACAAACCGGAGGAAGGUGGGGAUGGACGUCAAAUCAUCAUGCCCCUUAUGACCUGGGCUACACACGUGCUACAAUGGAUGGUACAAAGAGCUGCGAACCCGCGAGGGUAAGCGAAUCUCAUAAAGCCAUUCUCAGUUCGGA
RNAcentral lists this ribosomal RNA (525 nucleotides) under uncultured bacterium. RNAcentral describes it as "bacterial SSU rRNA". It matches the Rfam family "Bacterial small subunit ribosomal RNA", at positions 777 to 1297 of the family's 1533-position model. The record is from RNAcentral.